AAAUACAGAAGAACCCGUGCGAGCGCUACUGCUUACUGACGUGAGCUGAAGCUGGACAACGAUAGAACUGUAGUCGCACGUAACGAUGAAUACUAGUGUUGGAGCUAUAGCUUCGUCGCAGCUACGCAUAGUAUUCACUUGGGAGUACGUUGCAGAUGAACUCAAAGGAUUGACGGGACUGCACAGCGUGAGCAUGUGGUUGAGUCGAAGCAACGCGAAGAACCUUACCAGUCUGACAUCUGAUGACAGAGAGGAUGAUGCUCUUUCCUUCGGGCAUCAAGACAGUGUGCUGUGCCUCGCUCCCGUCGUGAGAUGUUGGUUAGUCCCGCAACGAGCGCAACCCUGUCGUUAGUAGCCAGCACGUUACGGUGGGCACUCUAAUGAGACUGCCGGGGAUAACCCGGAGGAAGGUGGGGAUGACGUCAAAUCAUCAGUGCACCUUAUGAUUUGGGCUACACACGUGCUACAAUGGCGUAAACAAAGAGAGGCGAAGUCGUGAGGCAGAGCAAAUCUCAAAAAUAACGUCUCAGUUCGGAUUGUAGUCUGCAACUCGACUACAUGAAGCUGGAAUCGAUAGUAAUCGCGAAUCAGCAUGUCGCGGUGAAUACGUUCCUUGGUCUUGUACACACCGCCCGUCACACCAUGGGAGUCGGAAAUGCCCGAAGUACGUGACUAACCGUAAGGAGAGAGCGUCUGAAGGCCGGUCUGG
Molecule: ribosomal RNA, 709 nt
Filed under: uncultured bacterium
Lineage: Bacteria
Description: bacterial SSU rRNA
Rfam family: Bacterial small subunit ribosomal RNA
Source: RNAcentral